RNAcentral lists this ribosomal RNA (385 nucleotides) under uncultured bacterium. RNAcentral's name for it is "bacterial SSU rRNA". It matches the Rfam family "Bacterial small subunit ribosomal RNA", at positions 30 to 416 of the family's 1533-position model. The record is from RNAcentral.
AUUGAACGCUGGCGGCAUGCCUUACACAUGCAAGUCGAACGGCAGCACGGGAGCAAUCCUGGUGGCGAGUGGCGAACGGGUGAGUAAUAUAUCGGAACGUGCCCAGUCGUGGGGGAUAACGUAGCGAAAGCUACGCUAAUACCGCAUACGAUCUAUGGAUGAAAGCGGGGGAUCGCAAGACCUCGCGCGAUUGGAGCGGCCGAUAUCAGAUUAGGUAGUUGGUGAGGUAAAGGCUCACCAAGCCGACGAUCUGUAGCUGGUCUGAGAGGACGACCAGCCACACUGGGACUGAGACACGGCCCAGACUCCUACGGAGGCAGCAGUGGGGAAUUUUGGACAAUGGGCGCAAGCCUGAUCCAGCAAUGCCGCGUGCAGGAUGAAGGCC